This 329-nucleotide unclassified non-coding RNA is filed under the name soil metagenome. Its description in RNAcentral is "partial contains 5.8S ribosomal RNA, internal transcribed spacer 2, and large subunit ribosomal RNA". The stretch from base 1 to 120 matches the Rfam family "5.8S ribosomal RNA", at positions 35 to 154 of the family's 154-position model. The record is from RNAcentral.
GAUGAAGAACGCAGCGAAAUGCGAUAAGUAAUGUGAAUUGCAGAAUUCAGUGAAUCAUUGAAUCUUUGAACGCACAUUGCGCCCCCUGGCAUUCCGGGGGGCAUGCCUGUCCGAGCGUCAUUACAACCCUCAAGCUCAGCUUGGUGUUGGGCCCCGCCGCCCCGGCGGGCCCUAAAGUCAGUGGCGGUGCCGUCCGGCUCCGAGCGUAGUAAUUCUUCUCGCUCUGGAGGUCCGGUCGCGUGCUCGCCAGCAACCCCCAAUUUUUUUCAGGUUGACCUCGGAUCAGGUAGGGAUACCCGCUGAACUUAAGCAUAUCAAUAAGCGGAGGA